Molecule: ribosomal RNA, 443 nt
Filed under: uncultured bacterium
Lineage: Bacteria
Description: partial 16S ribosomal RNA
Rfam family: Bacterial small subunit ribosomal RNA
Source: RNAcentral
CCUACGGGUGGCAGCAGUGGGGAAUAUUGCACAAUGGGCGAAAGCCUGAUGCAGCAACGCCGCGUGAAGGAAGAAGGGUUUCGGCUCGUAAACUUCUAUCAACAGGGACGAAAGAAAUGCCGGUACCUGAAUAAGAAGCCCCGCCAACCUACGUGCAAGCAGCCGAGGUAAAACGUAGGGGGCAAGCGUUAUCCGGAAUUAGUGGGUGUAAGGGGUGCGUAGGCGGCAUGGUAAGCCAGAUGUGAAAGCCUUGGGCUUAACCCGAGGAUGGCAUUUGAAACUUUCAAGCUAGAGUACAGGAGAGGAAAGCGGAAUUCCUAGUGUAGCGGUGAAAUGCGUAGAUAUUAGGAAGAACACCAGUGGCGAAGGCGGCUUUCUGGACUGAAACUGACGCUGAGGCACGAAAGCGUGGGGAGCGAACAGGAUUAGAUACCCUAGUAGUC